AACAGGAUUAGAUACCCUGGUAGUCCACGCCCUAAACGAUGUCUACUAGUUGUCGGGUCUUAAUUGACUUGGUAACGCAGCUAACGCGUGAAGUAGACCGCCUGGGGAGUACGGUCGCAAGAUUAAAACUCAAAGGAAUUGACGGGGACCCGCACAAGCGGUGGAUGAUGUGGAUUAAUUCGAUGCAACGCGAAAAACCUUACCUACCCUUGACAUGGCUGGAAUCCUCGAGAGAUUGAGGAGUGCUCGAAGGAGAACCAGUACACAGGUGCUGCAUGGCUGUCGUCAGCUCGUGUCGUGAGAUGUUGGGUUAAGUCCCGCAACGAGCGCAACCCUUGUCAUUAGUUGCUACGAAAGGGCACUCUAAUGAGACUGCCGGUGACAAACCGGAGGAAGGUGGGGAUGACGUCAAGUCCUCAUGGCCCUUAUGGGUAGGGCUUCACACGUCAUACAAUGGUACAUACAGAGCGCCGCCAACCCGCGAGGGGGAGCUAAUCGCAGAAAGUGUAUCGUAGUCCGGAUUGUAGUCUGCAACUCGACUGCAUGAAGUUGGAAUCGCUAGUAAUCGCGGAUCAGCAUGUCGCGGUGAAUACGUUCCCGGGUCUUGUACACACCGCCCGUCACACCAUGGGAGCGGGUUUUACCAGAAGUAGGUAGCUUAACCGUAAGGAGGGCGCUUACCACGGUAGGAUUCGUGACUGGGGUGAAGUCGUAACAAGGUAACC
This 725-nucleotide ribosomal RNA is filed under the name uncultured bacterium. RNAcentral's name for it is "bacterial SSU rRNA". It matches the Rfam family "Bacterial small subunit ribosomal RNA", at positions 771 to 1501 of the family's 1533-position model. The record is from RNAcentral.